This 292-nucleotide small RNA is filed under the name Schizosaccharomyces japonicus yFS275. RNAcentral's name for it is "5' ureB small RNA". It matches the Rfam family "5' ureB small RNA". Lineage: Eukaryota; Fungi; Ascomycota; Schizosaccharomycetes; Schizosaccharomycetales; Schizosaccharomycetaceae. The record is from Rfam by way of RNAcentral.
CCUCUUCCGCCUGCUGUGGACAGAUGAAGUGCACAUGAGAAUCCAUACCACCGUACGUAACAAUCUUAUUUUCAGCUGAAAUCACGUCUGUAGCCGAUCCUAUAGUCAUAUUGGGUGAGAUGUCAUCCAUUGUAUCGGGGUUACCAGCUUUUCCAAUGCCGACAAUAAAACCAUCCUUGAUUCCAAUGUCUGCCUUGUAAAUACCGGUGGAAUCGAUGACAACGGCAUUUGUCAACACAGUUGACAAACAUUCAGACGCACUCUUUCCACUGGCUUGUCCCAUUCCAUCACG